This 253-nucleotide ribosomal RNA is filed under the name uncultured bacterium. Its description in RNAcentral is "partial 16S ribosomal RNA". It matches the Rfam family "Bacterial small subunit ribosomal RNA", at positions 524 to 776 of the family's 1533-position model. The record is from RNAcentral.
UACGAAGGGGGCUAGCGUUGUUCGGAAUCACUGGGCGUAAAGCGCACGUAGGCGGAUUGUUAAGUCAGAGGUGAAAUCCCGGAGCUCAACUUCGGAACUGCCUUUGAUACUGGCAAUCUCGAGUCUGGAAGAGGUUGGUGGAACUGCGAGUGUAGAGGUGAAAUUCGUAGAUAUUCGCAAGAACACCAGUGGCGAAGGCGGCCAACUGGUCCAGUACUGACGCUGAGGUGCGAAAGCGUGGGGAGCAAACAGG